AUGGCGAGUCUAGUAGUUCUGGCAUCGCUGCUUACCGUAAUUGGGCUCGCGCAGGGGGAGGCGCAAUGUGCGCGGUACAGCGGGCGGCCGCGGCCACAUAGCGUGACCAUCACUGAGUUUGGGGCCGUCGGCGACGGCCUGACCGUCAAUACGGUGCCCUUCCAGAACGCCAUCUUCUACCUGCGGUCCUUUGCCGACAAGGGCGGCGCACAGCUGUACGUGCCCAAGGGGCGGUGGCUCACCGGCAGCUUCAACCUCACCAGCCACCUCACCCUUUUCCUGGAGAAGGACGCUGUCAUCAUCGGCACCGAGGAUGUGACACAAUGGCCAAUUGUGGAACCUUUGCCAUCAUAUGGCCAAGGAAUUGAUCUUCCGGGUGCAAGGCAUCGCAGCUUAAUAAAUGGGCACAAUGUUACCGAUGUCAUAAUUACAGGGAACAAUGGAAUCGUAGACGGCCAGGGUUUGAUAUGGUGGAACUGGUUUCGCUCGAAUAAAUUGAAUUAUAGCCGGCCUCAUCUUGUGGAGUUUGAGUAUUCGGAAGAAAUUGUGAUUUCGAACUUGACAUUCUUAGAUUCCCCAGCAUGGGGUAUACAUCCUGUGUAUUGCAGCAAUGUAACAAUCAGUAAUGUCACAAUCGAGACUGAAUUGGAUGCUCCACUCACCAAUGGAAUUGUCCCAGAUUCAUGCUCGAAUCUGUGCAUUGAGGACAGCAUAAUUAGUGUCGGUCAUGAUGCCAUCUCAUUAAAAAGUGGGUGGGACAACUAUGGCAUUACAUUUGGAAGGCCAACCUCAGACAUUCACAUUAGUAGAGUGGAUCUGCAAGCCUCACUGGGAGCUGCUCUUGCAUUUGGCAGUGAGAUGUCUGGUGGGAUCUCGGAUGUUCAUGUUGAUCACCUUUAUAUUCAUGGUUCAUCCAAAGGUAUCUCCUUCAGGACAGCACCAGGCCGUGGUGGUUAUAUAAGGGAUGCGAUAGUAUCAAAUGUCCAGAUGGAAGAUGUCCAUGUUGCAAUCGAGUUCACCGGCGAUUGGUCAAGCCAUCCUGAUGAACAUUUUGAUUUGUCUGCACUCCCGGAGAUCAGUGGAAUCACCUUAAAAGACAUGGUUGGAAUAAACAUUUCGUUUGCAGGAGUUUUGUCGGGAAUCGAUGGCGAUCCUUUCACCAAUAUCUGCCUCUCCAAUAUCAAUUUCACCAUAGCUGAUUCAGCGCAUUCUGCCUCUUGGUCUUGCUCCAACGUUUCUGGAUACUCCGAGUCGGUAUUUCCCGAGGCUUGUUCUGACCUCCACAGUCAAUCAUCAAAUUCCUCCAUCUGCUCAUCCACCCUUAGGUACCAUGCCCUCGCGACAGCGUAA
RNAcentral lists this ribosomal RNA (1350 nucleotides) under Triticum aestivum (bread wheat). RNAcentral describes it as "partial small subunit ribosomal RNA". Lineage: Eukaryota; Viridiplantae; Streptophyta; Magnoliopsida; Poales; Poaceae. The record is from RNAcentral.